Long non-coding RNA from Helianthus annuus (common sunflower), 923 nucleotides. RefSeq lists it as uncharacterized. The record is from RefSeq and is a predicted model, not a curated record. The transcript is spliced from 4 exons. NCBI's taxonomy places the organism in Eukaryota, Viridiplantae, Streptophyta, Magnoliopsida, Asterales, Asteraceae.
CUGUCGUUUUUCCACUUUGCCUGACAUCUUUGAUGUAUAUCGGGUCGUUUAUUCUCAAAAUUCUAUCAGUUUGGAACUCGUGGACCGAACAUGGGGACCGCCAGAUAGAUAUAUCAUUUCAUGGUAUAAAGAGUUGUCUUCAAGACAAAACCUCAUUAACCGGAUGGUUUCAGCGGUUUACAAUAUUUCAGUUUGGAGAAUGUAUAUUGUGGCUCCUCUUACGGAAGAGUUAGUAUUUAGAGCGUGUAUGAUAUCUUUGCUUCUAUGUGGAGGAUUGAGACCAUAUACACUCAUUUGAAACAUUCAUUGGAGUUCUACAUGCAACAAAAUUCCAGCUUGCUGAAAGCUUCCAUGGUUGUAGGUUUUCAGCUUGGGUACACUGUGAUAUUUGGGUCAUAUGCAUCAUUUCUCUUUGUUCGCACUGGUUGGUCAUGAUUCUCUUAUUUUUCUUUAUCUUAUUCUGAAGUUUUUCCUUAUAGGCAAAGCAUUUUUAUUUGUCUCAUCAUGGUUUAAAAAACGGGCGAGGCACGCCUCAAGGCGAACCACCAAUUCCGUCAACAAUGGAGUCAGUCAUACCCCGGCGCCGGUGUUCUGGCACCACUAGCAAUCGUGGCGUGCAUUGCCAUGAUCAUCAAGGCGAGGUACGCCUUGAGGCGCGCCUCAUAGGGCUGAGGCUCUAAGCAUAGUUGUCAAUAGCGAAUGACAGUCAAUAGCGACAGGCUACAUAUAUGCUACGUAGCGAUAGCGACAAAAUAGCGCCCGCUUUUUCAUGUUUUGCAAUAAUGCAGAGAAACAAAAAAAAUACAUGUUAUCGAGCAAUGGAGAUGAGGAAAAUAUAGAAAAAUACAUGUUAUAAGACGAAACCUGAGGUUUCGAGCAGUGGAGAUGAGAAAGAAAAUCUAAAAUACAUGUUAUAUAGCGGC